CUGAGAACGUCCCUGUGCUUCUCUUACCUGGCAUCUGGCUACAGAGCCAAAGAAACAGUGCAUGUAUACAGCCGGAAAAAGUCAGAAUUUUACUCUAACAACAAAGAGGAAAAUUUCCUGUGGAACAUACACACAGAACAACUCAACUGGUCCAAAACGUCACUGACUGGAAACCAUUUCGCAGUGGUAUGAAGUGCUGUGGCUCCAACAUCAGGAGAUGGGAGUGAGCACCCAGUUCAUCAUGCUUUGCAGUAGGAAGGUGGACUCCACCAUAAUUGGCUCGAGCAGUUUCCGCCCAAGUCGGAGAUCUCCGGGGAGGACCUCAUUUAGGGGGACUCCGCAUCCAUCUCAUGGAGAACUCUGAGCCACGUGGUAGAGCCUAACAAACUCUACGCGUGUCUCGGAGCUGACCGGUGGUUUGAUCAGCUACCAAGACUCUCUCCCCGUUGCCACAUGAUCCCUCGAUGUACCCUACCCUGCCCGCUCGUCGAGAGUCACCUUUCGGACUCUCGUUUCGGUUGUUCCACGAAGCCUAGCAAACUCCAAGAGUGUGUAUCCAGAGCUCUGUUCGUGUUUGUUUUGUGGAGCCUAGCAAACUCCACGUGUGUCUUUUUGUAACUGCAACUCAAGAAAGUUUUCCUGCCUGCACCGCGACCACCUAUG
Molecule: long non-coding RNA, 663 nt
Organism: Alligator mississippiensis (American alligator)
Lineage: Eukaryota; Metazoa; Chordata; Crocodylia; Alligatoridae
Exons: 3
Source: RefSeq, a predicted model, not a curated record